Molecule: long non-coding RNA, 420 nt
Filed under: Capsicum annuum
Lineage: Eukaryota; Viridiplantae; Streptophyta; Magnoliopsida; Solanales; Solanaceae
Description: long non-coding RNA (CANN_LNC011447)
Source: RNAcentral
GAAUCUAGAUUGGUAGUUCACAUACUAUAUAUUUACAAUUUGUAAAGUUACAUCACAUAGGAGAAGUACUACUUAGUCUAUCUACAGCAACUAAUAAAAUUAUGUUUUUUCAAUAGAUCGGGGGGUCACAUGGUCAGAUUGUCAGUGGAUGCGACUGAAGUCAUUGAUAGCUUCCAAUUACAUGUGGGUUCGAUCUUCUUACAAUCUCCCUACCUGCCAUAACUACAAGUGCAAAAAAAUACAAAUGAGGGACAAAUCAAAGCAUAGUGUCAAGUGGAUGAGGAAGGAUCUAAUACCUGGAUACAACAUUAAUCUUCAGUGGAUGAGACCCAUCUUGUUAGUACCAAAAAAAUUAUUUACACCUUUACACUGAUGAAACCAACUUGAAGAAAUGAAGAGCAUGGUUAAGCAGUAAGGGGG